RNAcentral lists this transfer RNA (71 nucleotides) under Bos taurus (domestic cattle). It matches the Rfam family "tRNA". Rfam says of the family: Transfer RNA (tRNA) molecules are approximately 80 nucleotides in length. Lineage: Eukaryota; Metazoa; Chordata; Mammalia; Artiodactyla; Bovidae. RNAcentral also lists the same sequence under 3 other names. The record is from Rfam by way of RNAcentral.
UCCCUGAUAGUUCAGUUGGUAAAUAAUCUGCCUGUAAUGCAGGAGACCCAGGUUCGAUUCUUGGCUGGGAA